UGCCAGCAGCCGCGGUUAAACCGGCAGGCCAAGUCAUUUGUAACGGUAAGAUAGUAAAGGAAUUUAAUUUUGCUCUCAAAAAUGAUAUUAUAAGGUGAAAUUUGAAUAUAUUUAAGACCCUGAAAGCUUUUUCCGAAGCUAUGAAAUCCUUGAGGGAAACUGGGAUUAGAUACCCCAUUAUUCUAGGAUAUAAAAAAAUUACCAGGGCACUACGAACAACGUUUAAAACCCAAAGGGCUUGGCGGUAUUUUAGACCCCCCAGGGGAACCUGUCUCAUAAUCGAUAUUCCACGUUACACCUAACUUUAUCUAGAAAUUUUUUAUUUGCUUGUACACCGUCGUCUUAAGCUAACUUUCCUAAGGAAAAAAGAGUUAGCAGCAAACCCGCUUUGGGUUAAAAGUCAGAUCAAGGUGCAGUUUAUGGUAAAGGGAGGAUGGGUUACAAUUAUUUAAUUAUAUAUUCGGCAAAGAAAAAGUUGGAAUUCUCUUUUUAAGUUGGACUUGGAAGUAAAAGCAUAGAGAUAAAUACUUUGAAUAAGGCUCUGGAAUGUGUACAAACCGCCCGUCGCUC
Molecule: ribosomal RNA, 570 nt
Filed under: Latiaxis mawae
Lineage: Eukaryota; Metazoa; Mollusca; Gastropoda; Neogastropoda; Muricidae
Description: partial 12S ribosomal RNA
Rfam family: Microsporidia small subunit ribosomal RNA
Source: RNAcentral